GGUAACCGGCGAACGGUGCGUAACACGUGAACAACCUGCCCUCGGUGUGGGGAGUAGCCGGGCUAACGCCCCGGGGUAAUACCGCAUACGUUCUCUUUGGGGAGUCCUGAGGAGAGGAAAGCUCUGGCGCACGGGAGGGGUUCGCGGCCUAUCAGCUAGUUGGGGGGGUAACGGCCCACCAAGGCGACGACGGGUAGCUGGUCUGAGAGGAUGGCCAGCCACAUUGGGACUGAGAGACGGCCCAG
This 245-nucleotide ribosomal RNA is filed under the name uncultured bacterium. Its description in RNAcentral is "partial 16S ribosomal RNA". It matches the Rfam family "Bacterial small subunit ribosomal RNA", at positions 90 to 334 of the family's 1533-position model. The record is from RNAcentral.